This is a long non-coding RNA of Brassica napus (rape), 1322 nucleotides long. RefSeq lists it as uncharacterized. Lineage: Eukaryota; Viridiplantae; Streptophyta; Magnoliopsida; Brassicales; Brassicaceae. The record is from RefSeq and is a predicted model, not a curated record. The transcript has 5 exons.
GGGAUUAGGGUUCCCCCUCUGUCUUCCUCUGCGCUGCGACAGAAGCUUAAAGUGACGAUCCGAUCUACAUAACGUCUGCACCAUCCAUAACUCAGAGGUUUUGGCAAUGGCGAGAUUCAACACCAGUAGAUUCCUCACACCAUCGAGGCAAGAGAAAAUCAUAAGCUGCAUAUGGUAUUUGGUCGUAUUUGUUUCCUUCAUCAUUUGUUUUCGUUUAAGUGAAUUAUAUAGCUUGAGCAGUAGCAAAUAUUGUUUCUUUCUGUUCUUUAUAUUUGGUACGAAAUUGCUUUUGUUCUUUUGUAAGGUCUCUGGAUCACUGAUUGUUACCUUCUUUUUUGUUUCAAGUACUUCCCUUUAUAAGAAAUCUUUUGUUUGCUCUAUAAAUCUCUCCAAAACCAUUAAAUUGCAUCCUUUAUUUUUAUUCUGCAGAUGGUACUCCGAGAAGACUGUGUUGCUGAGUUAAACAAUUACAUAGACCCUCUCUACCGGAGAAUUUAGAUGGAAAACUUCUGACUUGCAUUUUGGAGGUUGAUGGUAAGCUGAAUCCAUGAAAGUGCAGUACCGAAUCAGGCAGGGUCUUAAGAACGCUGAUUAGCAGAGCAUACUUGAUGAUUUAAACAAGCAUGACCCAGGGUUCACACAGCCCUCUGUUUCAGAGGCAAGGCCACAAGUGGUUCCAACCAACCUGGACUGCCGCUGGUAAUCACUAAUCCGGGUACAACAACUGUUUUUUUUUAUCACGCUGCUUUCUCAGCCUUCAUUUAAUUGUUUUUUCUAACUUAUGUUUCUCUCAAGUCAAUUACACUUAACAAAUAUGCUCAUGGUGUGCAGAAUGUGUCGAUUUUGGCCUAAUUAGAGGUCUUCGUCCAAAAUCACAUUUUGGGUUCAAGUUUGGUACCAUGCAUGCUGGUACUGGUCAGUAGGAAGACUUUGGACGCUAUAAUUUUGUUGAUGAGCUCGAGAUUCUGAAACGGUCGACCAUGAAUCCUUUGGUGUUGGGUGCCACAUCUGGCAGUGACCUACAAUAUAACGCAGUACAGUGGUGUUAGGAAACUGGAGACUGUUACAGUGGCGGAGGUGAAUGCCUACGUUCUGAACUCGCCCCUAAGAAGAUUUACUGAUCCAAAGGGGUCAGCUGGUCAGGAAACCCAACAAGAAAGGCCCGAAGAGCUUAGUUUCCUUCAUGGAGCACUGUCAUUAAACCACUCUAUCGUUACUCCCAGUGCUUAAUAUUAUUUCUAUAAAUCUUAUGCUAUGCAAAUAAGGGAUUGGGCACUUUGCGUUUUUGUCUCACUUCUGAUUUUGAUACUUCCUGAAUUUUU